This 336-nucleotide ribosomal RNA is filed under the name uncultured soil bacterium. RNAcentral describes it as "bacterial SSU rRNA". It matches the Rfam family "Bacterial small subunit ribosomal RNA", at positions 26 to 364 of the family's 1533-position model. The record is from RNAcentral.
AGAUUGAACGCUGGCGGCAUGCCUUACACAUGCAAGUCGAGCGGCAGCGCGGGGGCAACCCUGGCGGCGAGCGGCGGACGGGUGAGUAAUGCAUCGGAACGUGUCCUCUUGUGGGGGAUAACCAGUCGAAAGACUGGCUAAUACCGCAUGAGAUCGCAAGAUGAAAGCAGGGGACCCGCAAGGGCCUUGCGCGAGAGGAGCGGCCGAUGCCUGAUUAGCUAGUUGGUGGGUAAAAGCCUACCAAGGCGACGAUCAGUAGCUGGUCGGAGAGGACGACCAGCCACACUGGGACUGAGACACGGCCCAGACUCCUACGGGAGCAGCAGGUAGGGGUAA